RNAcentral lists this ribosomal RNA (229 nucleotides) under uncultured bacterium. RNAcentral's name for it is "partial 16S ribosomal RNA". It matches the Rfam family "Bacterial small subunit ribosomal RNA", at positions 118 to 347 of the family's 1533-position model. The record is from RNAcentral.
UGGGCAACCUGCCCUCAGCUCUGGGAUAACUCCGGGAAACCGGGGCUAAUACCGGAUACGACCUUCCCUCGCAUGGGGGUUGGUGGAAAGUUCUUCGGCUGAGGAUGGGCCCGCGGCCUAUCAGCUUGUUGGUGGGGUGAUGGCCUACCAAGGCGACGACGGGUAGCCGGCCUGAGAGGGCGACCGGCCACACUGGAACUGAGACACGGUCCAGACUCCUACGGGAGCA